Molecule: long non-coding RNA, 2574 nt
Organism: Canis lupus familiaris (dog)
Lineage: Eukaryota; Metazoa; Chordata; Mammalia; Carnivora; Canidae
Exons: 2
Source: RefSeq, a predicted model, not a curated record
UCCCACAUGCACACCUUCCCUGGCUCUUGCUCGAUGCCAGACUUACUCUCUUGCUCCUUUCCCCUCAGUUGGCCUAGUUGCUAAAACCAUGAACUAUCUUGGAGGCAGGGUUCUUACGCAAGCAGUUUGGGAUUUGUUGACUAAUUCAGAAAAAUCAGCUGCCCAGUGUCAGCUGUUAAGGGAAUACAGUGAAUGAGACAGGUGAAGAGAGAUGAUUACAUCUGCAUUAGAGCUGGAUCAGAGAGAGGCCCCAGAGUGGAGCCUCGGAGGAGGGGCCCAUAAGCCACACUUAGGGCAGGAGUCCCCCUUGGACCCCAAGCUAGGCUCCAUCGCACGGCCUCAUCUUAAAUCAAGUACAUGUAGAUGACACACAGCUCAUCUGCCAGAUUGGUCCUGAGCUGAAAACAAUGCCUGAAGAACCAAACUCUUGUGAAACUGAAAGCUUUUAUCAGCAACAGGAUCCCAGAUUUGAUAUCCUCGGAGAAAUAUUUUCAAGACCAUGGGGAAUGGCUGGCAGUGUAAUUAGCAGUGAGUGGAGCACCUUCAGCCUCAAGGGAGGAGAGAGCUUGGGCUCCAGAUGCUGUGGGCCCAGAAUGGGGCAGACACUUCACAAGGCUUGGUCCUCUGCAAAUUGCAUACUCAAAGACCUUUUAUAUUUUAAUUUUCAUAGUCCCAGAAGAUGCCGGAUCAGAGUUCCUUGAUAUGAUUUUAAAAAAAGGUUUUCAAAAGAAGAGUGUAAGGAAUGGAAUUGUCUCCCUGCCCCCAAAUUCAUAUGCUCAAGUCCUAACUCAACCUACCUCCACAGCACUUCAGAACACGACCUUAUUUAGAGAGAGGAUCUUUACAGAUGUAAUCAAGCUAAAAUGAGGGUGGUCCCUAACCCAACAGGACUAGUGUCCUUCUGAGAAAAGGAAAUUUGGACACAGACAGACAUAGAGGGACGAUAAUGUGAAGAAACAUGGAGAGAAGACAGCCAACCACAAGCCAAGGAGAGAGGCCUGGAACACACCUUCCCUUAACCCCUUGGAAGGAAGCAAUGCCACAACACCUUUGUUCUGAAGUUCUAGCUUCUGGAACGGAGGCAACGCAUUUCUGUUAAGUCGUCCAGUCUGCGGAACCUUGUUACAGCACUUCUAGGAAACUAAUACAGAGAAUUCAUAACAACUCUCUUUAGAUCAAGAAAGAAGGGCUUCAUCCAUGUCUUCUAAUCAUUGAGAGUUUUGUCAUUCUGUGAGGUUGGUGAAGAAGCCGGAAACUCCCUCCCUCCUGGAGAAGCUGGAAGAAGUCAAGCAGUUCCCAUCCCGUCCGCCGGCAGCCAGGGCUCCGACCUGCAUGGUGGGCGCAGUCGUUCAGAUGCCUCGGUCUGGAACUCUAAAUCUAGAGCAAGUGACACAAAGACAGGGGGAUGGCCGAGAUGAUCCCAGCCGCAGUCUGAGUGGCAGCAGCAGUGCCAGCCCCCGGUCACAAUCCGACGGUUCCUGGGGCGAGGCCAGGCUGUGUUCUCAGCUGCCCAGUCUACAUCCGUUCCUGCCCAUUUUCCACACCUGCUUCUUUAACCUUCCUGUCGAUUCUGUAAGCCACCCAAUAGCCUUUCAGUAACUUCCUAUUUUCUUUAAGUCAACCAGAGUUGGUGCCCCUUUAUUUGUAACCAAGAACUCCGACCAGAACUAAUCACGGCAAAUUACUGAGCAGCUAUGAGCCGGGAAUUAUCCUAAGCCUUUACGUGGGGUAUCUCGCUUAAACUUCCUACAACCCUAGGAGAAUGGAACAUGUUAUUCCCAUUUGACAAAUGAGAACACUGAGGCUGGCUAAGGUUAACUAACGUAUUCAAGGUCAACACUUAGGACAGAGGCGAGUGUCAAGAUCAGAUCAGAGAGACUCUUCCUCCUACUCAGCUCCCAAGCAUCUGUGGAUCAGUUUACUAGUUACUCAAAGUAUCUAUAGCUUGUCCCAGGUAAUCCUCACAAGUCCUUCGGGUUGGAAUUUUUAAUUCCAAUUUUACAAAUGAGGAAACCGAGACUCAGAAGCAUUAAAAGUGACUUGCUCAAAUAUUUAUCGUAAGCUUUGAAACUGCACAUCCUCUUUGAUCCAACAAUUCCAGGUCCGAGCACUUAUCCCAAAGAAAUAAUCAGAGGCGUGACCAGAGAUCAUUCAUUGGGUUGUCGUUUAUUACAGGGAAAAAUUAAACACCGUCCUUAAGGUCCAACAGUCAGGCAACAGCCAAACAAAUUAGGGCAUCCCAUAUGAUGGAACCUUACGUGGUCAUUAAAAAUCAGGCUGUAGAAGCAAAUGAGGAGUUGUCUAGGCCUGAGGGUAACAUCAGGGUUGACUUCAAAAGGGUGUUCAGGAACUAUUGAGAGUGAUGGAAAUGUUUCAAAUCUCGACUAUGGUAAUGGUUACACAAGUGUACGCAGUUGUCAAAACUCACCAAACUACACACUUAAAAUGGGGGCAUUUAUUGUACAUGAACUAUACCUCAACAAUUAAAAAAAAUCCUGUAGAAACCAUUUUAUCAAAGAUAAUAUUCACAAAAUAUUAAGUGAAAGAUUACAAUAAAUAAUUAUAGUAUAUUUA